UACGUAGGGACCAAGCGUUGUUCGGAUUUACUGGGCGUAAAGGGCGCGUAGGCGGUGCGGUAAGUCACUUGUGAAAUCUCCGGGCUUAACUCGGAACGGCCAAGUGAAACUGUCAAGCUAGAGUGCAGAAGGGGCAAUCGGAAUUCUUGGUGUAGCGGUGAAAUGCGUAGAUAUCAAGAGGAACACCUGAGGUGAAGACGGGUUGCUGGGCUGACACUGACGCUGAGGCGCGAAAGCCAGGGGAGCAAACGGG
RNAcentral lists this ribosomal RNA (253 nucleotides) under uncultured bacterium. RNAcentral's name for it is "partial 16S ribosomal RNA". It matches the Rfam family "Bacterial small subunit ribosomal RNA", at positions 524 to 776 of the family's 1533-position model. The record is from RNAcentral.